AUUGAACGCUGGCGGAAUGCUUUACACAUGCAAGUCGAGCGGCAGCGCGGGGGCAACCCUGGCGGCGAGCGGCGAACGGGUGAGUAACAUAUCGGAACGUACCCCGUCGUGGGGGAUAACACAGCGAAAGCUGUGCUAAUACCGCAUACGACCUGAGGGUGAAAGCGGGGGAUCGCAAGACCUCGCGCGAUGGGAGCGGCCGAUAUCGGAUUAGCUUGUUGGUGAGGUAAAGGCUCACCAAGGCGACGAUCCGUAGCUGGUCUGAGAGGACGACCCAGCCACACUGGAACUGAGACACGGUCCAGACUCCUACGGGAGGCAGCAGUGGGGAAUUUUGGGACAAUGGGGGCAACCCUGAUCCAGCCAUUCCGCGUGAGUGAAGAAGGCCU
This 389-nucleotide ribosomal RNA is filed under the name uncultured bacterium. RNAcentral describes it as "bacterial SSU rRNA". It matches the Rfam family "Bacterial small subunit ribosomal RNA", at positions 29 to 417 of the family's 1533-position model. The record is from RNAcentral.